Molecule: ribosomal RNA, 1537 nt
Filed under: metagenome
Description: bacterial LSU rRNA
Rfam family: Bacterial large subunit ribosomal RNA
Source: RNAcentral
AAGGCGAGGCCGAAAGGCGUAGUCGAUGGGAAACAGGUUAAUAUUCCUGUACUUGGUGUUACUGCGAAGGGGGGACGGAGAAGGCUAUGUUGGCCGGGCGACGGUUGUCCCGGUUUAAGCGUGUAGGCUGGUUUUCCAGGCAAAUCCGGAAAAUCAAGGCUGAGGCGUGAUGACGAGGCACUACGGUGCUGAAGCAACAAAUGCCCUGCUUCCAGGAAAAGCCUCUAAGCAUCAGGUACAUCAAAUCGUACCCCAAGCCGACACAGGUGGUCAGGUAGAGAAUACCAAGGCGCUUGAGAGAACUCGGGUGUAGGAACUAGGCAAAAUGGUGCCGUAACUUCGGGAGAAGGCACGCUGAUAUGUAGGUGAAGCGACUUGCUCGUGGAGCUGAAAUCAGUCGAAGAUACCAGCUGGCUGCAACUGUUUAUUAAAAACACAGCACUGUGCAAACACGAAAGUGGACGUAUACGGUGUGACGCCUCCCCGGUGCCGGAAGGUUAAUUGAUGGGGUUAGCGCAAGCGAAGCUCUUGAUCGAAGCCCCGGUAAACGGCGGCCGUAACUAUAACGGUCCUAAGGUAGCGAAAUUCCUUGUCGGGUAAGUUCCGACCUGCACGAAUGGCGUAAUGAUGGCCAGGCUGUCUCCACCCGAGACUCAGUGAAAUUGAACUCGCUGUGAAGAUGCGGUGUACCCGCGGCAAGACGGAAAGACCCCGUGAACCUUUACUAUAGCUUGACACUGAACAUUGAGCCUUGAUGUGUAGGAUAGGUGGGAGGCUUUGAAGUGUGGACGCCAGUCUGCAUGGAGCCGACCUUGAAAUACCACCCUUUAAUGUUUGAUGUUCUAACGUUGACCCGUAAUCCGGGUUGCGGACAGUGUCUGGUGGGUAGUUUGACUGGGGCGGUCUCCUCCUAAAGAGUAACGGAGGAGCACGAAGGUUGGCUAAUCCUGGUCGGACAUCAGGAGGUUAGUGCAAUGGCAUAAGCCAGCUUGACUGCGAGCGUGACGGCGCGAGCAGGUGCGAAAGCAGGUCAUAGUGAUCCGGUGGUUCUGAAUGGAAGGGCCAUCGCUCAACGGAUAAAAGGUACUCCGGGGAUAACAGGCUGAUACCGCCCAAGAGUUCAUAUCGACGGCGGUGUUUGGCACCUCGAUGUCGGCUCAUCACAUCCUGGGGCUGAAGUAGGUCCCAAGGGUAUGGCUGUUCGCCAUUUAAAGUGGUACGCGAGCUGGGUUUAGAACGUCGUGAGACAGUUCGGUCCCUAUCUGCCGUGGGCGCUGGAGAACUGAGGGGGGCUGCUCCUAGUACGAGAGGACCGGAGUGGACGCAUCACUGGUGUUCGGGUUGUCAUGCCAAUGGCACUGCCCGGUAGCUAAAUGCGGAAGAGAUAAGUGCUGAAAGCAUCUAAGCACGAAACUUGCCCCGAGAUGAGUUCUCCCUGACUCCUUGAGAGUCCUGAAGGAACGUUGAAGACGACGACGUUGAUAGGCCGGGUGUGUAAGCGCAGCGAUGCGUUGAGCUAACCGGUACUAAUGAACCA